RNAcentral lists this ribosomal RNA (119 nucleotides) under Phascolarctos cinereus (koala). Lineage: Eukaryota; Metazoa; Chordata; Mammalia; Diprotodontia; Phascolarctidae. The record is from RNAcentral.
UUCUAUAUUCAUACAAGCCUGAAUGUGUUUAAUCUUGUCUGACCUACCAAGCUAAGCAGGGAUGGGCAUGGUAAUUAAUUUGAUGGGAGACUGCCUAGGAACACUGGGUACCAUAAUUA